CUCUCUAUCGUGUAAUACGUGGUAUUGAUUGUUCCGCCUGAAUGCUAUAACCCCUUCCACCGAGCCGCGCCUCGAAAAUUAGCUUGGUCUUCGGACGGGACGAUUUGGAGAGGAGCCCCGUCUGCGAAGGUCAUCCUUUCAAUAAUUUUUGAAGGAGUAAUAAAGUAAUCGAAGACGAAACGGAGGCGAAAGCAGUUCCAAUAGUCUUGAAUUGUUGCGAAGGAGCAGAAUCGACUGCUAUCUGAAUAGAAAUUACUUCUAGAGAAGACACGAGAAUUUCAACUACACUCAACUUGAUAAUUAAACUUUCGACACCAGAAGUGAAACAUAUUUUCAUUGCACUUCCUGUUCUUUCGCACAUCCGACGAUACCUCCCAAAAGAAUAGUAUAGAUGGCCGAACUUCAAUAAGAAACGAAAACAUUUUCCUCCUUAAUCGUAUAUGAUAAUGGUCAAUCAAUCAUUGCUGUGUUUAUCGAAUGAUUUUAUGAUGGCGACGGGACUAUUUCUAUUUAUGAGAGGGUCAUUAGGUCUCUUAACUUUAGCUAUCCUUAAUGUAUUAUAUUAGUGCAUAUAAAUCUAGAAUCCACUUAUUUUUCAACUACUGUAAUGAAGAACAUUAAAUGUGGGAAGCAAGAUGCUGGAUGAAGGAGAGCAGAUCGUAAAUGCGGCGGAGGAAGCUGAUGCUGCUCACGAAUUUAUUACGAAUCUUUCAAAUGAUGUGGAAACCAAGUUGAUGAGAGACGAACCUAAUUAUCUUGUGUAUGGAAGCUACAUGCUGCUAUUGCUAGAGCAUUACUAUAGAAACCAUCGACUUGGAUAUUGAAUUUUGAUACACAAGGGCAUCAUAAAAGCAGAAGAGUUUCUCAAGAAGCAGUUGGAAGAUCUAACCAAAGAAGGAACAUCGUGCUUUUGCACUUGUGUACAAAUGGAAUACCUAGGAGAAGGAAAAAGAAGAAAAAACAUUUGUUUUUUUCCGAAGAAGUUUUGAAAGACCAACAUGGAACUGUUUUAUAAAGUUUGGAACGGUGGUACGUGGAAAUGGGAGGGAUUUGGCUUUUUCAAAAGAACCACUCGUGAGCGGCUUUAGCUGGAGGGUAUAUGCGAUUGUGCUCAGAAGGAUUUGUAGAGGGUUCGUCAGAAGUUCCAAGAGGGGCAAGGGUCAAAGGGGAAUUAAAAUGAAACUGAGGGAGGUAUACAAAACAAUUUAACAUGCAGGGACGAUGAGAAGGUUCAUCUUUUUUGAAAGUAAUAACGUUAAUAGGGGAAUACUUUUAAGCUAUAUGGGAAAUGGAAAGUCCAUUUCACGUCAUCGUUAUUCCAUCGAUUUAAAUUGAGUAAUCGUUGGAUAUAAUUCAGAAAGGAGAAAUGCUGAAUUGGUUGUCGUAAUAUUCACGACAUCUAGUUGAAAAAUAUUCGUAAUAUUUAAUUGGCGAUUUUCAUGAUUAUUGAAAUUCGCACGAAGUGAUUUGGUGCGUAGCGCGAAUUAUCUGCUAUUAAUUCCUACUCCUGUACUUAUUUAGCCAAGUACUUUCGUUUUAACCCCACCGUUAUUCUCUCUCUCUGCGUGUGCUCUGGUGCGCGCCUAUCUGCGCCAGUUCGAGGGGUCGGGAUUGAGUGCGCGGUCUUGUGUGCGUGUAUGCAUACAACUCCUGUCUUCUCUUGAUAAUAAAGAAAAUAUGUUUUCAUUUGUAUUCCUAUCAUCAGGUGAAGCAGAUAAUUGGAGAUUAGCUCUAUAGUUCAAUUGUCUAUUUAGAUUCAUUGUUUGAUAACUAUUACUUAUUUUGCAGAGCAUUGGACUAUUUUUUUAGGAACCAAUUGAUUUGGAACAUAUUAUAUGAAAUAUUCGAUAACUGGAGGUAUAAUGGGAUUAUUGUUUUGCAUUCUCCAAUAGGGAGUAAAUUUCUAGGAAAAUGUAACCGUUCAUAGAGAAGAGUCAAAUCAGUCGUGGUAGAUGGAUCUGCAAAAGAAUUAACCAGGUAAUUAAAUGAUACAGCUAAAUGGAUAAUUGAAUUAUACCGCUAAUAGUAUUAUCGAAUUCUCUGGCUGGUUUGAUGAGAUGAAAAACUAAUGAAAAGAUACCUUUCUUAUUUUGAAAAUAUGAGAGGAGAAGUACGCAGACACGCCCACUUGAACUCGCUCACGUAAAUGCGCACGUUCACGAGGAGAGGUAAUUACUCGUUUAAUAUGAUGGUGCUGGACGAUAGGUAGGAGAAAAGGCGUACGUGCAGAUCGUUAAGUCCCGAUCAAUACCCGGUAUUAGAGGAAUUUGUAGACAUGGGGGAUCAUAUGUUUUUGCAAAAGAAUCAUAAUUUUGUUCAUUAUAAUUUUCUACGAUGUCUAUGAUAAAUGUUGAAUCAAUUCUCUUUCCACAUUAUCAUCCCUCGCAUUAUGUACGAGAUCUCUCCGUUUUUUUGUUGGACGUAAUCACUAUCACUCUUAUCGUUUUCUUACCCGAAUAAUAUUUAUUUUUUCUAACGUAUCUGUAUAAAUGUCUCUCUGGAAUUCCUCUUUGGUAUUACUUAUGACACGAAACUCACUAUUGUUUGGAUAUUUUGCCAUUCUCUUAAUGAAAAAAAAGUAAGUAAUUGAAAGCGCUGCUAGUCUCAAAUUGUAUCUUACGAAAUCGCGAAACGAUAUAUACCAAAAGAAUAUUACGUUUCUGAUUUUCUGACUUAUUAGUCUUGGGAACUAUCUAUUUCACUAAAAGUUUCAAUACGAAGCGAGUUCAGCUUCGAAAAUAUCUCCUCAGUUUUAUGAUUACUUGUUUACUCCAUCAAAUAUCACUGCAUCGUACGAGGCGUACUCGUGUACCAUUGCAGACAAGUCCUUAUCACUUCAUUUAAGCGGUUUAGAGAAGUGUUGUUGACCGUUUGAACGUACUUCUUUUCUGUAAGACCGACUCAUAUUCUUUUCAUAGAACUUGGUAAUUUGAACAUUUGCAGUAGUUGAAGACAACUGCAUAGCAAAUAUUGUAACACAUGUCCGUCGCCUUUUAUUUCACUUUAUGCAAACUUUUAUAUUUCCUCCGUCGACUCGAUAUUGUGAAACAAUGACUACGUGACAAGGAACAAUUAUCACGAUUAUCCACGAAAAAUAUACUCGUUUAUAUAGAAGUAUGUAAUCAGUCGUGGUACAUCGUUCUGCAGGAGACUUGAACGGGUAAUUAAAUGCUAUACAUAAAUAGAUAAUUGAAUUAUACUGCUAAUCGUGUUAUCGAUUUGUCUGCAUGGUUUGAUAAGAGGGAAACUAAUGAAAAAUUACCUGUUUUGUUUUCGAAAUAAAGCAGAGGAACGCAGACACGUCCACUCAUCCCCGCCCACUUGAACUGGCGCACGUAAUCCCGCUGGUGUAUGGAGGGUUGUAAUAAUAAAUCGAUCAAUAUAACGGUCCUUGACUAUAUGUAUGAGAGUAGGUAUUACCUACAUGCAGGUCGUUAAAUACCGAUCAAUACCCGUUAACAAGAGAAUUCGCUCUACCUAGCAAAUUAUUUCGUUUAAAUUCCUAUAUCAUCGAAAAACGUAUAUUAAAUAUUAUGAAUAUUUUUGAAGACCGUGUGAUUAUUUUGGCAAACAGUUUGGAACAACAUGGAACUCAACAUUUCUUCUGUUUUUAAUUAUAGUGAAUGAUUAUUUAAAUUGAGCGAACAAUAAUGACAGAGUGAUCUAAACGUGGAUUUCAUAUUUCAUGUAUAGUUUAAAUCUAUUCUGAUUUUAAAGUAUUUCGGAUAUAUUUUUAGUAUUUGAUACUAUUAUAUCAUAUACAAACGGUGAAUGUUUUAAUCGUCGCAGCAGCUUUAAUUCUUUUCCAAUAUAAACCUCCCUCCGUUCCAUUUCGAUUCUCCUUUGAACAAGGUCCCGCUUGCAACAUCGGACGGCCCUUCGACAAAUCUUUCUGAACACAAUCGAUUGUAUCCUCUAGCUAAAACCCACUUCGAUCCUUUGAGAACGGGAUUUUCCGUCUCUUCAUAUUACCAUUCGAAUGAAACAUUCGAAAACAGCGCCAUAUUAAUCUCGUGAUUGCUCGUUGUCACUGGCACUAUAAAUUUUUUCGUCUUCUUUCUGCUUUAUUUCAGUCACAUAAUGAACAGGAUAUGGAUCUUUACGGAUAAAUUAAAGACAAGAACGACUUUUCGAAACGGAACAUUUGGCCUUUAAAUCUAACACGUUGCUUUACAGUCUCUCCGGGAAGCAUUAAAAAGUUCGGGAGAAGUUGAUAAUCUUAGAUAGUACGAUAUUGAGUGAUUAGAAAAGAAAUAAGUAAGUAAACGGGUUGAAGGCUCAAAUUGUAUAUUUCGACAUCACGAAACAGUAUACACCAAAAUAAUAUAACACUUUUGAUUUUCUCACUUAUUAUUUCUGGGAUUUUUCUGAAAAUAUAAUAUCAGUAAACAAAGAAAUAUGACGGACGAUUUUCUCCGUCUUCGCAUACGACAGAAGAUUCUAGAAUAGGCAUUACAUAGUAUGAAAAUUGUAAUAUCAUUAAUAUCUAAUAAUAUUAGAACACUAUUUUUAAGUAUAACUUGAACUUACUAAAGAAAAAACAUUACAAAUUUGAUUAAUUUUGAUAAUUUUGAUAAAUUUGAUAAAUUAUGAGUAAUAUCAUAGAAAUUAAUGUUCAUAAUUACAAUAAUUAUAACUAUUGUAAUUAUUUUUACAAAAAAUUUUCAUAAUAAUUAAUUAUAUUAUAAUUAAAGAAUAUGCGGUUAUUUAGCUGUAAUUAAUAUACCCAAUAUAUAAUUAUUUACAUAAUUUAAAUUAAAAAAAAAUAGUGUUUUACAUGUUUAUUUGAAUUAAGAAUGGGAAGAAUUAUGGUCAAUUUCAUUAGAAGGUUACAAGAUUUGAAAUAAUUUUUCACGUACAUAGAGGACAUGAGUAUAUAACUACAUAACUACAGGAGAGGGGAAAUUUGUCAUCCCCUAGCUAGGAAGCAUGGUUAUAUAAGGGGACGACAUGAUAUUAAUUUCGCCAGGGAACGUCAUUCCUUCGGUGGUUUUCGAACCAGUAAUACGCAAGUGAGUGCCACACGGGAAAUAGUCGCCAGUGCAUAUACCUCAUAAGUCCGAAAGAAUACUUUUAUAAGCAAUUAAAACGGGAGAAACAAUUUCAUCGUUCUCACACGACAUCUUCGGUAUUUAGCUAACAGUGUUCUUUCUUCGCGUUCGUUUUCUUCGUUCUCGAAUUCCUUCUUGAAUCACUCUUCCGCUUUCACAAUCCAAUGCGCUAUAUUAUAAAAGAUAAAAUUCAUGUAGAAAAUUGUAUAAGAUAUGUGACAAAUUACUUAUAUCUGAUCUUUUCAUACCUCGUUUAUUAAAAUCCAAUAUUCAAGUUGAUCGUUGCUAUAGUAUUGCGUUAGCAUUGGCGUCACGGUGUUUCCAUACCCCGGAUAAUUAGAUGCUUUUCUCGCCAAUUUGGUGUAUAUCAUAUGGAUUAUUUGAAAUGGAUUCAUUUUGAAAUGGAAAUACUUUCGUCGACUUCAUAAAAUCUAUGUAAAAGUUCAAUAAAUUAUUGUAAAAUAUACUUAUGAUAGAGAUUAAAUAUUUCAAAUUACAUUUCAGAAUAAAAAAUUUAUAUCUUAUCUCUAAAACAUCUUACCUUUCGGUAAACAGAGCACUUGUACUAUCGAUGUAGAACUCAUGUUCGGAAGAGCAGGAAAUACCGAUGUAAAUAUGUUUCACUUGGGAUGUGGAAUAUUUCAUUACGACGUUGAGCGUAGUUGAAUUUCGUGUAUCUUCUUUGGAAUUAAAUUCAAAUGUAAGUCCAUUGGACUCCUUUGCAAUACUUCGACUAUUGGAACUGCACCUUCGUUUUCUCUAUUCUAUCUAUAUAAUAAUUUAAAAUUCCUAGGUUAGUAAAGACUCACGAUAGGCAUUGAACUGCUCAUCCAAUUGUGUAGGUAACAAAGAUAAACCUAAUUACGCGCCUUUAAGAAAUAUAAAAUACCUUCACCGAAAAGCAACAAAUAAUUAUAAUGUUGGUAUUGAUCACGACAAUCAGUUUCAUUUCGAUAAAAUAUAAUUGAAAUUUUAUAAUAAAUCACAUAUUAAUGACCACUGAUAAAUUUACCUUAUAUUGAUAACAUAAACAAAAGACUAGUGAGAACGAAGAAAUUGUUUCCACCGCCUGAACCGCUUGUAAAACUACCCUCUGGAACGUAUAAAGUAUACGCAAGACGAAUAUUUAUUGUACGACACUUGCUCACAUAUUAUCAGUUCGACCACCACCGAAGGAAUGACGUAAAGCUUUAUCGGCCUGCUCUGAUAGACGGUAUUUUUCCCCCGCUCUUCGCUAUCGUUCGUUAGCAUAGCGUCAAAGAAUACGCCCUCUGCAAAGGGUUAUUACGCUUUAAAUCGAUUAAUCAAUAUCUCCUGUUAUAUGUUCGAAAGAAAAUAAAAGGUCAUAAACUGUGAGGAAA
Long non-coding RNA from Vespula vulgaris, 6412 nucleotides. RefSeq lists it as uncharacterized. The transcript is spliced from 5 exons. Lineage: Eukaryota; Metazoa; Arthropoda; Insecta; Hymenoptera; Vespidae. The record is from RefSeq and is a predicted model, not a curated record.